RNAcentral lists this transfer RNA (70 nucleotides) under Camelus bactrianus (Bactrian camel). It matches the Rfam family "tRNA". From Rfam's summary of the family: Transfer RNA (tRNA) molecules are approximately 80 nucleotides in length. Their secondary structure includes four short double-helical elements and three loops (D, anti-codon, and T loops). Lineage: Eukaryota; Metazoa; Chordata; Mammalia; Artiodactyla; Camelidae. The record is from Rfam by way of RNAcentral. RNAcentral also lists the same sequence under 1 other name.
GGGGACAGCUCAGUGGUAGAGCACGUGUUUAGCAUGCACGAGGUCCUGGGUUCAAUCCCCAGUAUCUCCA